GGUCGAAUGGUGGAAUGGCAGACACGCGAGUUUAAGGGACUCGUGCCUUCGGGCGUGGGGGUUCAAGUCCCCCUUCGACCACCA
This 84-nucleotide transfer RNA is filed under the name Opitutaceae bacterium BACL24 MAG-120322-bin51. RNAcentral's name for it is "tRNA-Leu". It matches the Rfam family "tRNA". From Rfam's summary of the family: Transfer RNA (tRNA) molecules are approximately 80 nucleotides in length. Their secondary structure includes four short double-helical elements and three loops (D, anti-codon, and T loops). Lineage: Bacteria; Pseudomonadati; Verrucomicrobiota; Opitutia; Opitutales; Opitutaceae. The record is from RNAcentral.